AGCCAGUGUGGCAUAACGGUUUGAGUGAUGGACUACAAGUUUGGAGACCAGGGUUUGAUUCCCUGCUUGGCUA
Molecule: non-coding RNA, 73 nt
Organism: Phrynosoma platyrhinos (Desert horned lizard)
Lineage: Eukaryota; Metazoa; Chordata; Lepidosauria; Squamata; Phrynosomatidae
Source: the annotation of a GenBank genome assembly